Molecule: long non-coding RNA, 769 nt
Organism: Mandrillus leucophaeus (drill)
Lineage: Eukaryota; Metazoa; Chordata; Mammalia; Primates; Cercopithecidae
Exons: 3
Source: RefSeq, a predicted model, not a curated record
CACAGGAAGAACUUGUCUGCUACUUAGAUUCUUAUAUUUAUUUAAAAUUAUUGAGCAUAAUGGUCGUAGUAAGCCUGGCCAUCAUCUGAGUUAAACAGCCUAGUAUAUUAGGAAGAAACUGGACUAGAAUUCGGAACAACCCUGGUUCAAAUCCCAGCUCUGCUACUAACAAGUAAUGUGCCGUUAAGCAAGUGCCCUAACCCUUCUGGAUCUCAGUUUCUUAUCACAAAAUAGGUUUAAAGUCUCAGCCAUAUAUCACAAAAUUUUUGUGAGGAUUCAAUAAAAUACGAUUUUGUAGAUGGCAGCUUUUUAAAAAAUUACUCAUUUGGGCAAAAUCCUAUCAAAAAUAAAACUCCUAGCCAGAGAGUCAGAACUAGAGGUGGUGGAGUGAACACCGUACCAGGCAAUGGAAGAGGCACUGGCCUAGACCAAGCUUGAGCUUGCACCACUGUCACCUGGAGGGCUUGUUCCAACAUGGAUGGCUGGACCCACCCCCAGAGUUUCGGAUUUAUUAGGUCUGUGCUGGGCCCUGAGAAUGUUUAUUUAAAACAAAUUCCUGGAUGCUACUGGUUCAGUUGCCACACUCAGACCCGCUGGCCUUGAACUUGGAAGACGUGGGUUUUAUUCCUGGAUUCCACAGUUUACUAGCCGUCACUUAGAGAAUUUAAAUUACUUACCUAAGUCUUGGUUUCUUAUUUGCAAACUACCUAUUCUACCCAUUUUAUAAGACUUUUUAAAGGAUAAAAUAAAAGAAUACAUAUGCAAAUUA